This 74-nucleotide ribosomal RNA is filed under the name uncultured Prevotella sp. Its description in RNAcentral is "partial 16S ribosomal RNA". Lineage: Bacteria; Pseudomonadati; Bacteroidota; Bacteroidia; Bacteroidales; Prevotellaceae. The record is from RNAcentral.
CGGGCUUGAAUUGCAGAUGAACGAUUUAGAGAUAAUGAGGUCCUUCGGGACAUCUGUGAAGGUGCUGCAUGGUU